RNAcentral lists this ribosomal RNA (883 nucleotides) under Ralstonia sp. Its description in RNAcentral is "bacterial SSU rRNA". It matches the Rfam family "Bacterial small subunit ribosomal RNA", at positions 86 to 965 of the family's 1533-position model. Lineage: Bacteria; Pseudomonadati; Pseudomonadota; Betaproteobacteria; Burkholderiales; Burkholderiaceae. The record is from RNAcentral.
UGAUGGCGAGUGGCGAACGGGUGAGUAAUACAUCGGAACGUGCCCUGUAGUGGGGGAUAACUAGUCGAAAGAUUAGCUAAUACCGCAUACGACCUGAGGGUGAAAGUGGGGGACCGCAAGGCCUCAUGCUAUAGGAGCGGCCGAUGUCUGAUUAGCUAGUUGGUGGGGUAAAGGCCCACCAAGGCGACGAUCAGUAGCUGGUCUGAGAGGACGAUCAGCCACACUGGGACUGAGACACGGCCCAGACUCCUACGGGAGGCAGCAGUGGGGAAUUUUGGACAAUGGGCGAAAGCCUGAUCCAGCAAUGCCGCGUGUGUGAAGAAGGCCUUCGGGUUGUAAAGCACUUUUGUCCGGAAAGAAAUGGCUCUGGUUAAUACCUGGGGUCGAUGACGGUACCGGAAGAAUAAGGACCGGCUAACUACGUGCCAGCAGCCGCGGUAAUACGUAGGGUCCAAGCGUUAAUCGGAAUUACUGGGCGUAAAGCGUGCGCAGGCGGUUGUGCAAGACCGAUGUGAAAUCCCCGAGCUUAACUUGGGAAUUGCAUUGGUGACUGCACGGCUAGAGUGUGUCAGAGGGGGGUAGAAUUCCACGUGUAGCAGUGAAAUGCGUAGAGAUGUGGAGGAAUACCGAUGGCGAAGGCAGCCCCCUGGGAUAACACUGACGCUCAUGCACGAAAGCGUGGGGGAGCAAACAGGAUUAGAUACCCUGGUAGUCCACGCCCUAAACGAUGUCAACUAGUUGUUGGGGGAUUCAUUUCCCUUAGUAACGUAGCUAACGCGUGAAGUUGACCGCCUGGGGGAGUACGGUCGCAAGAUUAAAACUCAAAGGAAUUGACGGGGACCCGCACAGCGUGGAUGAAUGUGGAAUAGUCGAUGCACGCGAA